Molecule: ribosomal RNA, 1850 nt
Rfam family: Bacterial large subunit ribosomal RNA
Source: Rfam
GGUCAAGUUAUUAAGGGCAUAAGGCGGAUGCCUUGGCAUUAGGAGCCGAUGAAGGACGUGGUAAGCUGCGAUAAGCUUCGGGGAGGUGCAAGCAACCUUUGAGCCGAAGAUUUCCGAAUGGGGAAACCCACUUGGGGUAAUGCUCAAGUAUCUUCAGGUGAAUACAUAGCCUGUUGAGGGGAACUCGGGGAACUGAAACAUCUAAGUACCCGAAGGAAGAGAAAGAAAAGAUCGAUUCCCUAAGUAGCGGCGAGCGAACGGGGAUUAGCCCAAACCAGAGAGGUUUUCCUCUCUGGGGUUGCGGACUUGUCACAAAGGAAGAGGUAUUGUAACCGAAGGGGUCUGGAAAGGCCCACCACAGAAGGUAACAGUCCUGUAGGUGAAACGAGAAGACUUCCGACAAGCUCCAGAGUACCACGAGACACGUGAAACCUUGUGGGAAGCUGGGAGGACCACCUCCCAAGGCUAAAUACUACCUAAUGACCGAUAGCGCAUAGUACCGUGAGGGAAAGGUGAAAAGAACCCCGGAAGGGGAGUGAAAUAGAACCUGAAACCUUAUGCCUACAAGCUGUGGAAGCACAUUAUUAGUGUGACCGCGUACUUUUUGUAGAACGGGCCAACGAGUUACGGUAUGUAGCAAGGUUAAGAAGCUAAGCUUCGGAGCCGCAGCGAAAGCGAGUCUUAAAUGGGCGCUUCAGUUGCAUGCCGUAGACCCGAAACCAGGCGACCUAUCCAUGGACAGGAUGAAGCGAAAGUAAAAUUUCGUGGAGGUCCGAACCCACGCACGUUGAAAAGUGCGGGGAUGAGCUGUGGAUAGCGGUGAAAUUCCAAUCGAGCCUGGAGAUAGCUGGUUCUCCCCGAAAUAGCUUUAGGGCUAGCCUCGGGAUUAGAGACAAGGGGGUAGAGCACUGACUGUCCUAGGGGCCCUUUGGGUUACCGAAGACUAUCAAACUCCGAAUACCUUGUUCUUUUUCCCGGGAGUCAGUCUAUGGGUGAUAAGGUCCAUGGACAAAAGGGUAACAGCCCAGACCAUCAGCUAAGGUCCCAAAGUGUGGAUUAAGUGGAAAAGGAUGUGGGAUUGCACAGACAACCAGGAUGUUGGCUUAGAAGCAGCCACUCAUUCAAAGAGUGCGUAAUAGCUCACUGGUCGAGUGAUCCUGCGCCGAAAUAUUACCGGGGCUAAAAUCCACCACCGAAGCUAUGGAUCCGUAAGGAUGGUAGGGGAGCGUUGUAUAAGGAGCGAAGCUGUACCGCAAGGAGCAGUGGACUUUAUACAAGUGAGAAUGUUGGCAUGAGUAGCGAGAGGCAGGUGAGAAUCCUGCCGGCCGAAAACCCAAGGUUUCCUGAGGAAGGUUCGUCCUCUCAGGGUUAGUCGGGGCCUAAGCUCAGGCCGAAAGGCGUAGGCGAUGGACAACAGGUUGAUAUUCCUGUACCACCAACCACCAUUUGAGUGAUGGGGUGACACAGUAGGAUAGGCCAUCCUUCAGUUGGUUUUGAAGGUCCAAGCGUUAAGGGAGUCGAAAUAGGCAAAUCCGUUUCGAUAAUUCUAAGGCGUGAUGGGGAGCGAAAUUUAAGUAGCGAAGUGGCUGAUUUCACACUGUCAGGAAAGCCUCUAACGAGGUGGAAGGUGCCCGUACCGCAAACCGACACAGGUGGGUGAGGAGAGAAUCCUAAGGCUAGCGAGAGAACUAUUGUUAAGGAACUCGGCAAAAUUACCCCGUAACUUAGGGAGAAGGGGUGCCCCGUUAGUGUGAAAUCAACCACUUCGCUACUUAAAUUUCGCUCCCCAUCACGCCUUAGAAUUAUCGAAACGGAUUUGCCUAUUUCGACUCCCUUAACGCUUGGACCUU